Molecule: non-coding RNA, 198 nt
Organism: Coxiella burnetii RSA 493
Lineage: Bacteria; Pseudomonadati; Pseudomonadota; Gammaproteobacteria; Legionellales; Coxiellaceae
Rfam family: Coxiella burnetii sRNA 3
About the family: CbSRs 2, 3, 4 and 9 are located antisense to identified ORFs. CbSRs are up-regulated during intracellular growth in host cells.
Source: Rfam
GCCGUGAAAGCCCUCGAUUCUUUGUCUAUCGGUAGACGGCCUACGCACGGGAACGACGGACAUUUUUUAACUACUUGAUAUUCCCUCUUUACCUCGCUCCUUAAGUUGACGUCUAUGCGCGCAGGCGGGAAUCUAGCGCGCUUUCUAUCAAGGUUUGUUUUUAAUCCUCAUUCCCCCUGCCGCGGUGACGGGGCCUAA